AUGGAGAUACCACCAGGUUUUGGCACAGAACAGACUACGGGGAAGGUAUGCAGGCUGAAGAAAUCCUUGUAUGGUCAGAAGCAAUCGCCGAGGGCAUGGUUUGAUAGGUUCAGACGGGCUGUUUGGAAUAUGGGGUAUGGCCAAUGUAAUGGUGAUCACACGGUGUUCUAUGGACACACUGAUAAGAAGAUCACCAUUCUUGUAGUGUAUGUUGAUGAUAUCAUCAUCACUGGAGACGAGGAGGAAAUUAAGAGAGUGAAGGGGUGUCUGAGCAAGGAGUUUGAGGUAAAAGACUUGGGCAAUCUAAAGUACUUCCUUGGCAUAGAAGUGGAUCAAACAGAGAAAGGAAUAUCUCUGUGCCAACGAAAAUACAUCUUGGAUCUCUUGGCUGACAUGGGCAUGAUGGGAUGUCGUGCAGCCCCUACUCCGGUUGAACAAAAUCAUCAAGUAACGGCAGAAUCAGGUCAGCUAGUGAAUAAGGAAGAUUAUCAAAAGCUGGUUGGGAGGUUAUUGUACUUGUGUCAUACCAAGCCUGACAUUACGUAUGCCGUGGGGGUGGUCAGCAGAUACAUGCAUGAACCAAGGAGUGCGCAUCUUGAUAUUGUUCACAGAAUCCUAAGAUAUUUGAAGGGGACUCCGGGUAAAGGGUUGUGGUUUGCGAAGAGUGGACAUCUUGAGGUGGAUGGCUAUAGUGACUCUGAUUGGGCUAGCUGA
Molecule: ribosomal RNA, 714 nt
Filed under: Triticum aestivum (bread wheat)
Lineage: Eukaryota; Viridiplantae; Streptophyta; Magnoliopsida; Poales; Poaceae
Description: partial small subunit ribosomal RNA
Source: RNAcentral